AAGUCGUAACAAGGUUUCCGUAGGUGAACCUGCGGAAGGAUCAUUAAUGAAUCAUAAAGUCGAUCAUCUGUGCUGGUGUUCAUUCACAUGUGCACGUUGAUCGCAAAAUCCACACACCUGUGCACUUUUGACCUUGGGAUUCGCUUGUUCUCGUGACUUGCAGUUGGUAGACUGUUGUCGACCUGAAUCUCAGGGUACUUUUUUAUCUAUGCCAAAUGUCUUAGAAUGUAACUGUGCAUAAUGCGCAAAUAUACAACUUUCAACAACGGAUCUCUUGGCUCUC
Molecule: unclassified non-coding RNA, 283 nt
Filed under: Sebacinaceae sp.
Lineage: Eukaryota; Fungi; Basidiomycota; Agaricomycetes; Sebacinales; Sebacinaceae
Description: partial contains small subunit ribosomal RNA, internal transcribed spacer 1, and 5.8S ribosomal RNA
Rfam family: Eukaryotic small subunit ribosomal RNA (bases 1-46)
Source: RNAcentral